RNAcentral lists this ribosomal RNA (273 nucleotides) under uncultured bacterium. Its description in RNAcentral is "partial 16S ribosomal RNA". It matches the Rfam family "Bacterial small subunit ribosomal RNA", at positions 523 to 796 of the family's 1533-position model. The record is from RNAcentral.
AUACAGAGGGUGCAAGCGUUAAUCGGAAUUACUGGGCGUAAAGCGCGCGUAGGCGGUUUAAUCAGUCGGAUGUGAAAGCCCCGGGCUCAACCUGGGAACUGCAUUCGAUACUGUUAAGCUAGAGUAUGGUAGAGGGAAGUGGAAUUCCAGGUGUAGCGGUGAAAUGCGUAGAUAUCUGGAGGAACAUCAGUGGCGAAGGCGACUUCCUGGACCAAUACUGACGCUGAGGUGCGAAAGCGUGGGGAGCAAACAGGAUUAGAUACCCCGUAGUCC